Molecule: ribosomal RNA, 401 nt
Filed under: uncultured bacterium
Lineage: Bacteria
Description: bacterial SSU rRNA
Rfam family: Bacterial small subunit ribosomal RNA
Source: RNAcentral
GGGAAUAUUGGACAAUGGGCGAAAGCCUGAUCCAGCAAUGCCGCGUGAGUGAUGAAGGCCUUAGGGUUGUAAAGCUCUUUUACCCGGGAUGAUAAUGACAGUACCGGGAGAAUAAGCCCCGGCUACCUCCGUGCCAGCAGCCGCGGUAAUACGGAGGGGGCUAGCGUUGUUCGGAAUUACUGGGCGUAAAGCGCGCGUAGGCGGCUUUGUAAGUUAGAGGUGAAAGCCCGGAGCUCAACUUCGGAAUUGCCUUUAAGACUGCAUCGCUUGAACACGGGAGAGGUGAGUGGAAUUCCGAGUGUAGAGGUGAAAUUCGUAGAUAUUCGGAAGAACACCAGUGGCGAAGGCGACUCACUGGACCGUUGUUGACGCUGAGGUGCGAAAGCGUGGGGAGCAAACAG